UACGAAGGGUGCAAGCGUUACUCGGAAUUACUGGGCGUAAAGCGUGCGUAGGUGGUUUGUUAAGUCUGUUGUGAAAGCCCCGGGCUCAACCUGGGAAUGGCAAUGGAUACUGGCAGGCUAGAGUGCGGCAGAGGGGGGUAGAAUUCCACGUGUAGCAGUGAAAUGCGUAGAGAUGUGGAGGAAUACCGAUGGCGAAGGCAGCCCCCUGGGCCAAUACUGACGCUCAUGCACGAAAGCGUGGGGAGCAAACAGG
RNAcentral lists this ribosomal RNA (253 nucleotides) under uncultured bacterium. Its description in RNAcentral is "partial 16S ribosomal RNA". It matches the Rfam family "Bacterial small subunit ribosomal RNA", at positions 524 to 776 of the family's 1533-position model. The record is from RNAcentral.